Molecule: long non-coding RNA, 169 nt
Organism: Chinchilla lanigera (long-tailed chinchilla)
Lineage: Eukaryota; Metazoa; Chordata; Mammalia; Rodentia; Chinchillidae
Exons: 2
Source: RefSeq, a predicted model, not a curated record
ACAUGAAAUCAUUUUGAAAAAGCACUGGUUCAAACUCCUGGUCAUCAGGGUCAGAGGCAUUCGUACCAAGAGUCCCCAAGACCUGGCCCCAGGACUGGCAUGGACUGUUAGGAACCGGGUGUGCAGCAGGAGGUAUCUGUCUAUGUACUGCUGGAGGAAAUAGCAUACG